GUUUGUAAUAGUUAUUGAGGGCGCGCGGUGGCGCUGUGGAGCUGCUGCACAGUGGCGGCUUUCAGAAGCGCAGCUGGAGGCGGAGAGUCCAGUGAUAGAUAGAUACACAGAGAUGUGGAGUGGAUGUUGACAAUGUAGCCGCUUGUUUGGACAGCUUCGCUGUUAUCUUCGUUUGUCUGUCGCCUGACCCGCAACUCUGACUUAAUUCACUGCGAGUUUGACACAUUUUACACAUCCAGGAACAGACUGAGCGAUGAACUCUGGAAGCGGACGAGAACAGUUCACUUGGACGCUUUGAGCAUUUCCAGCGAUGGACAAGCAGAAAGUGCUGGCUCGGCUGGUUUCGGACCUGCAGGCCUUCUUGCUGGUUCUGGACAGUGAAAAUCUCAGUUAUAUCGCUCAGGCCCAGAAAAAAUCAAUUUCAGAGCUGCUAUAUAAACUGCAGGACAACAAGGACGCACCAGAGGAUGCAGAGUACAUGAUUAUGAACUGUCCCUCUGGAGGCCCCAGUGAUCUCAGGGAAAGCACCACUGCUGAGGCUCAUUCGACGGAGGAAGCUCUUUCCGUCAGCUCUACUGACCGCCUGCAGCCCAGGUCUAUGAAUCCUGCUGUUCCCCCAAAUCCCCCGUGUUUAGAGGACGAGGACUGUUAUGAGGAGGCAGAACCAUUUGUCCCGGCCAGUCAGUCUACAGGUCAGUGUAACAGCUCAUUUUUAAAGGGAUACCUAAC
This 729-nucleotide long non-coding RNA is filed under the name Sinocyclocheilus grahami. RNAcentral's name for it is "lncRNA (ENSSGRG00000025314.1)". The record is from RNAcentral. Lineage: Eukaryota; Metazoa; Chordata; Actinopteri; Cypriniformes; Cyprinidae.